This is a non-coding RNA of Anas platyrhynchos (mallard), 411 nucleotides long. The record is from RefSeq and is a predicted model, not a curated record. Lineage: Eukaryota; Metazoa; Chordata; Aves; Anseriformes; Anatidae.
AGCCCUCCAGUCCCAAAGCCACUGCUUUGGUGGGCUUUGUGGGGCUUUCAGGAGAUCAUUUCCUCAUACUGCUGCCCCCAGGGGAGGCUCUUCCCUGUGCUGUUGUGGUUGCUGUCCUUAUUGAACUGAAAUAUUGGGCUAAAGGAAGAGAAAAUGGGAUUAUUUUAAACAUUGCUGUUAUUUCGGGACUGAGUGGGCAGAUCGUGUUUGCCUCUCCUGCAGGAGAAGUCCAAACAAACAAGCAUACGGCAGGACACCAGGAGGCUGUGCCGCAGGGCGCUGCGCUGCAGGAGAGCAGGGAGAUGCAGCGGAUGACAAAGCCUGGAUCUCUUACACGCUGCUUCUGAAGGAAAAAUAACCUCGAGUUUAAAAAAACAAGCCAUUGCAAAAAAAAAAAAAAAAAAAAAAAAA